CCUACGGGGGGCAGCAGUGGGGAAUAUUGCGCAAUGGGCGAAAGCCUGACGCAGCGACGCCGCGUGAGGGAUGAAGGUCUUCGGAUCGUAAACCUCUGUCAGCAGGGAAGAACGGUCACUGUGCUAAUCAGCAGUGAAUUGACGGUACCUGCAAAGGAAGCACCGGCUAACUCCGUGCCAGCAGCCGCGGUAAUACGGAGGGUGCGAGCGUUAAUCGGAAUUACUGGGCGGAAAGCGCUCGUAGGCGGGAUGUCAAGUCAGGGGUGAAAGCCCCGGGCUCAACGUGGGAACUGCCUUUGAAACUGGCAAACUGGAGUGUGUGAGAGGAUAGUGGAAUUCCAGGUGUAGGAGUGAAAUCCGUAGAUAUCUGGAGGAACAUCAGUGGCGAAGGCGACUAUCUGGCACAUAACUGACGCUGAGGAGCGAAAGCGUGGGUAGCAAACAGGAUUAGAUACCCCAGUAGUC
Molecule: ribosomal RNA, 465 nt
Filed under: uncultured bacterium
Lineage: Bacteria
Description: partial 16S ribosomal RNA
Rfam family: Bacterial small subunit ribosomal RNA
Source: RNAcentral